GAAUAUUGAAAGUAAUGUUUUUGAUAUGUACAAGAGAAAAUGGUGUAAUGAUUUAAACACAAAUGAUCGCAGUAAACUGCGUACAUAUAGAUUAUUUAAACAAGAAUAUUAUAAAGAACAUUAUUUAAGUGUUCAUAUGCCAGGAAAAUAUAAAAGCGCCUUUGCUAAAUUUCGAUGUGGUGUGGCGCCGAUUAGAAUUGAAACAGGCAGAUAUGAAGGGGUUUUAAGUGAAAAUAGAUUUUGUUUUAAUGAUUCAUGUAUACAACAGAAACUCAUUGAAGAUGAGAAACAUGUUUUACUCAAAUGCCCUUUAUAUUCACAGGCAAGACAAGAGGUUUUUACUAGAGCAGUUUCUUUUAAUAUUGAUUUUUUAGACUUAAAUGAUGAUGAAAAAUUUAUAUUUUUAUUUACAAAUAAAAAUUUAUGCUUUUAUUCGGCCAAAAUCUGCCAUGAUAUUUUAAUUCAAAGGAAGAAUGUUUUAUAUAGAUAAAAAAUGUUUUAUAUUUUUAUCGAGCUGUCCUUUUUUAUGUAAAAGUCUCUCAUAACUCUUUUGAGAGUGGCUCUCGAAUGUUUUUAAGAUUGUUUUGUACUUUUAAUUAAAACAUGUUGUAUAUAUAUAUUGUGUUCAUGUUUGUAUUGUACAUGUAGAGAGGUGAGACUAUAAUAAAAUAUUUGAUUU
This 679-nucleotide long non-coding RNA is filed under the name Mytilus galloprovincialis (Mediterranean mussel). The record is from RNAcentral. Lineage: Eukaryota; Metazoa; Mollusca; Bivalvia; Mytilida; Mytilidae.